GAUGAACGCUAGCUACAGGCUUAACACAUGCAAGUCGAGGGGAAACGAUAUUGGAAGCUUGCUUCCGAUAGGCGUCGACCGGCGCACGGGUGAGUAACGCGUAUCCAACCUGCCCACCACUUGGGGAUAACCUUGCGAAAGUAAGACUAAUACCCAAUGACGUCCAUAGAAGACAUCUGAAAUGGAUUAAAGAUUUAUCGGUGAUGGAUGGGGAUGCGUCUGAUUAGCUUGUUGGCGGGGGAACGGCCCACCAAGGCGGCGAUCAGUAGGGGUUCUGAGAGGAAGGUCCCCCACAUUGGAACUGAGACACGGUCCAAACUCCUACGGGAGGCAGCAGUGAGGAAUAUUGGUCAAUGGGCGAGAGCCUGAACCAGCCAAGUAGCGUGCAGGAUGACGGCCCUAUGGGUUGUAAACUGCUUUUAUAAGGGAAUAAAGUGAGUCUCGUGAGGCUUUUUGCAUGUACCUUAUGAAUAAGGACCGGCUAAUUCCGUGCCAGCCGCCGCCGUAA
Molecule: ribosomal RNA, 508 nt
Filed under: uncultured bacterium
Lineage: Bacteria
Description: partial 16S ribosomal RNA
Rfam family: Bacterial small subunit ribosomal RNA
Source: RNAcentral